RNAcentral lists this ribosomal RNA (393 nucleotides) under uncultured bacterium. RNAcentral's name for it is "partial 16S ribosomal RNA". It matches the Rfam family "Bacterial small subunit ribosomal RNA", at positions 523 to 918 of the family's 1533-position model. The record is from RNAcentral.
AUACGGAGGAUGCAAGCGUUAUCCGGAUUUAUUGGGUUUAAAGGGUGCGUAGGCGGAGGAGUAAGUCAGGGGUGAAAUGCCGCAGCUCAACUGCGGAACUGCCUUUGAUACUGCUUUUCUGGAGUUCGGAUGCCGUGGGAGGAAUGGGCAGUGUAGCGGUGAAAUGCAUAGAUAUGACGAAGAACACCGAUUGCGUAGGCAGCUGACCAGACCGCAAAUGACGCUCAUGCACGAAAGUGCGGGGAUCGAACAGGAUUAGAUACCCUGGUAGUCCGCACAGUAAACGAUGAAUACUUGUUUUCGGCGAUAUAAUGUCGGAGGCAAAGCGAAAGCGAUAAGUAUUCCGCCUGGGGAGUACGCCGGCAACGGUGAAACUCAAAGGAAUUGACGGGG